CAUGUCGCUGGCGAUAAGCACCUUCUUUGAUCUUCUUAUUUUUUCAUUACAUUCUUUGCAGAAAGUGCUGAAUAUCACAGAACACAAAGAAAAGAGAAGGCGAAACUGACAGAGCUUAUAAACAUAGCAGGAAAGUUCAGAUAUGCACAUUUCUGCUGGAGUUUUAAGGAGCAGUGUGUUUCCUACAUCCUGAAGCAGAUGAACUUGAUGGGAUGGAGUUUCUUGAAAGCCUUUGAAGUUUUCAUGGCAAUUCCCUUGUUCAUUGCUACAAAAGUUUACAGGUUUGGUGAUAGGAGUUGAAGAAACUUCUCUGUGAAGAAAUCAACGUCAUCCACCAAGAGGAAAAGGGCAUGACAGGGUUAUAAAUCCAAUGUGUGAAGAAGUUCAGAUUGCCUCCCUGGAGACCUAGAAACAAAGCUUUCUGGAGAAAGUGAGUGGUCCAGGAGGAAUAAAGAUUCCUGCCGAAGGACAAUGGUCUCAUUUCUUCAUCUCCCCACCAAAAACCAGAGAGCCCAGCUCACAGGUGCAAGAUAUACUUUGAAUGAGUAUAUGUGAAUGGAAUUUGAAUCCAAGAUGAGAGUGUUUCAUGGUUCAUUCUUCUUACAGUUAAGAGUAUGAGGACCUGCCACCAGCUACCUGCUUAAUUUCUUCCUCUCAACCUUUCCUAUUGAAAACUCUCAAGCAUCUUGACCCCACACAGCGCAUUCUUCACAACAGUUGUUUUCAUACUCAUACUCUGCCCCUUUCGACUUAGGAAUUCUCAGAGUUGCCCCACAGGUCAGUAUCAAGGGAAACCAUCAAAUAUAGGAGCACCUCUUAUAACUAUUUUAUGUAUUGGGAAUGUAAGACAUUUUUGUUUUAAGAAA
This is a long non-coding RNA of Leopardus geoffroyi (Geoffroy's cat), 866 nucleotides long. RefSeq lists it as uncharacterized. The record is from RefSeq and is a predicted model, not a curated record. NCBI's taxonomy places the organism in Eukaryota, Metazoa, Chordata, Mammalia, Carnivora, Felidae. The transcript has 5 exons.